This 446-nucleotide ribosomal RNA is filed under the name uncultured bacterium. RNAcentral's name for it is "bacterial SSU rRNA". It matches the Rfam family "Bacterial small subunit ribosomal RNA", at positions 29 to 521 of the family's 1533-position model. The record is from RNAcentral.
AGCGAACGCUGGCGGCAGGCUUAACACAUGCAAGUCGAACGGGCACUUCGGUGUCAGUGGCAGACGGGUGAGUAACGCGUGGGAACAUACCUCUUGGUUCGGAACAACACAGGGAAACUUGUGCUAAUACCGGAUAAGCCCUUACGGGGAAAGAUUUAUCGCCGAGAGAUUGGCCCGCGUCUGAUUAGCUAGUUGGUGUGGUAAAAGCGCACCAAGGCGACGAUCAGUAGCUGGCUGAGAGGAUGAUCAGCCACAUUGGGACUGAGACACGGCCCAAACUCCUACGGGAGGCAGCAGUGGGGAAUAUUGGACAAUGGGCGCAAGCCUGAUCCAGCCAUGCCGCGUGAGUGAUGAAGGCCCUAGGGUUGUAAAGCUCUUUUGUACGGGAAGAUAAUGACGGUACCGUAAGAAUAAGCCCCGGCUAACUUCGUGCCAGCCGCCGCCGU